RNAcentral lists this long non-coding RNA (305 nucleotides) under Elaeis guineensis (African oil palm). RNAcentral describes it as "long non-coding RNA (EGUI_LNC005702)". The record is from RNAcentral. Lineage: Eukaryota; Viridiplantae; Streptophyta; Magnoliopsida; Arecales; Arecaceae.
ACGGAGAUGGGAUUGAGCAGUCUGGCUCGACUCCCAUGUUUGCCCAUCCAUGAUCAGCAGGCGAUUGCCCUAGGGCAUGGGGGCGAGGAGAUCCAGAAGCUCUCGGAGUUUGGAGGAGGCCGAAUAUCGAGUCGAGAUGGAGAUUGUUAGGAUUUGACGCCUCGAGAUUCAGCCCACAUUGAGCCCACAAUAAGGUUCGCGGUGAAAAAUGGAGUCCAACGAGACCAAGAUCACCUGAAUCGGAGCUCGGAUGGAGGAGAUACGAGCUUUUGAAGUCGGCACGAGAAUCGAGGCGGCGGAGGACC